This 66-nucleotide transfer RNA is filed under the name Provespa barthelemyi. RNAcentral describes it as "tRNA-Gly". Lineage: Eukaryota; Metazoa; Arthropoda; Insecta; Hymenoptera; Vespidae. The record is from RNAcentral.
UCUUAUAUAGUAUAUAUAAUACAUUUAACUUCCAAUUAAAAAAAUUAUUUAAAAAUAAUAUAAGCA